This 32-nucleotide small RNA is filed under the name Bombyx mori (domestic silkworm). RNAcentral's name for it is "ovarian small RNA-33751". Lineage: Eukaryota; Metazoa; Arthropoda; Insecta; Lepidoptera; Bombycidae. The record is from RNAcentral.
UGCCCUCCUCUCGCCGGCCCCUUGCGCCUCAU